Molecule: long non-coding RNA, 579 nt
Organism: Pan troglodytes (chimpanzee)
Lineage: Eukaryota; Metazoa; Chordata; Mammalia; Primates; Hominidae
Exons: 2
Source: RefSeq, a predicted model, not a curated record
GCAUUUCCCUGCGCGCCCUGCGUGUUGACCCUCCAAGCCUGCGUGGUCAGCCGCAUGGGCACUUUGCAGAAGGGCCUGAAAAACUGCACAUAGAAGGGUGGGGGUGUGUAUACAUCAGAAUGGAACCCCAUCUGUACUUCUCAUGGGCCUCUUGCAUUCCCGUGUGUCCUCGGAAUCACCUACUGCGUGUGAGAGCUGGCUCAAGUCUGCAGCGCAGCUGGUCUCAGGAGCCUCCCACUCCACUUGGAAAGAGUGGCCAGGAGCCCAUCUGCCUCUGCAGCCCACCUGCCUCUGCAGCCCAGGGUAGGAAUGUAACUGUUGCUGCUGUACUCACAUCUGACCUUCCUUCAGCUGAUCUUCGCCCCUUUUACCAGAUCUCCUCUUUCACUUUACAAUUUCAGAAGCCUCAGAUUACAAUCCUCUCCAUUCCCUCAAACAGUUGCAUCUGGCAAUAGCGACCAUGGCUGCCCCAUUGGAAGGGACUGUUAACAGAAAAUGGCAUGAGGCCUUUGGAGGAGGGGAGCUACGUCUUCAUAACACUAACAGAAACAAACCCGAGGUUAAAUAAAGUGAACCAGG